CAUCACACAGAGAAGAUUCUGGGUGGUGGAGACAAGAUGUCACAAUUUAUUUGCUUUCUUCUUUGAAUGCUGAAUUCUCUGGCUGUCUCCUUCAUGGAGCUUUGCGACAUUAGGGAAGAGCGGAGUGGGGAUCUUUCAUAGAGGGCACGUGACAGCCCAGACCUCAGUCCCACCAUUCCUUGCGCACAGAUGAAAACAUGGGAGAGAAGCUCGGCUCACCAUGAUCAGAGGCUUGUAGCAUACAAGAAUAUUUGCUUAGCAACUCAAGCACACUCCCACAGAACUGAAGACAUACCUUUUUUGGAGACCUACCUGCAAUGCUCAGACUCCACACGGAGAUAUUCUCAUUUAUAGGCCUGGCAUGACUGGCUACACCAAACUAGUUAUCUAUUAUUUGCUGGCAGCUGAUAAACCCA
Molecule: long non-coding RNA, 416 nt
Filed under: Fukomys damarensis (Damara mole-rat)
Lineage: Eukaryota; Metazoa; Chordata; Mammalia; Rodentia; Bathyergidae
Description: lncRNA (ENSFDAG00000028051.1)
Source: RNAcentral